This is a long non-coding RNA of Neopsephotus bourkii (Bourke's parrot), 1446 nucleotides long. RefSeq lists it as uncharacterized. The record is from RefSeq and is a predicted model, not a curated record. The transcript has 2 exons. NCBI's taxonomy places the organism in Eukaryota, Metazoa, Chordata, Aves, Psittaciformes, Psittacidae.
GGGACGGGGGGAGCCGCGUUCUUCUACCCCCGCUCCUGCCCCGCCGCCGCGGCGGCCUCCGCCGCUGCCUGGCUGAGGGGAGAAGGGGCGAGGGCAAAGCUCUACGUGUUUAUUAGCGGGCGGGCUGAGGCAGAAGAUGUCGGAACGGCAGAGGCGGGGCGGGCGGGAAGGCGGCAGGCUGGCGGCUGAAAGGCGCUUUCUCUGCGAGGAGCGAUGGCAAGAGGAGUGUUGUCAACGCGAGGACAAGCGAGGGAUGAUGAUGCCUGCAACCUAUGGCUGAACUGGAGGUAAUUCACUAGUGGAUCAAUAACGUACCGAAGGUUCCUGAAAGGCUGCAACAUUGUACAGAGCCUGAUUAGAGGUUAAAACAUUGGUUUAUUUAAUGCUUGGUAGCUUGACGAUACCGAAUAAACGUUCUGAUUCGUGCUGUAACUAUUUGCUGCUUGCAGUCAUAAAGGAAAAGAAAAUAAAAACAAGCAAGUAAUUUUUGCUUUGUUUAAAGGUAACUAUCGUUACCACUGAUAACUACUUUUAAAAAACAAAUCCGUGUCCGACAAGGAAAGGGGUAUAAAGGAGUAUAAUUACUUUAUGGUUUGCAAUGCAUCUAUGCUUUUUCAGGUCGAGUUUGGGCCUUGCCAGAACAAACAUGUUUGUGGACAGUAAGAGUGAUUGUAUCAGGGAUCGGUGUAAACAGGGGAAGCUGUUAUUUUUUAGUAUUAUUGUGCCCCAUUUACUAACUAAUGUGACUCGUGAGGCAAAGCCGAAAAUAUGUUUGAAAUUAUACAGGAAUUAGACAAAGAAUGCUGUGUAUGUAGAGACCCUAAAGCUCCCAAUUGCGUAACUUUUAACAAAAUUCGAUUUAAAGCAUGUUUCUGUGCAGCUGAGGAGAGGCUGAGUUGAGCAUUUUCACAUGUAUGUUUCCAAGGCUCUGAGGUUGCCGUACAAGCCUGCUGCUUGAGCUUUGUGCUUGGCACGGUGAGAAAGCUGCUGCGACCACGCUUCAGCUUUAUUGCACAAACAUACCCGUGGAAGGUUAGAGAAGGGAGGCUGAAAUGUCAGGUAUUUCCGUGAAGUCCUCUUAUAAAAAGUGAAAAAAAUCAGAUUGAUGUAGCAGAUGCGGUGUUGCUGUGCAUUUUGACGUACUGUUAUCAAAUGUUCUAAAAAUCAUUAAAAUCAUAAUCCAGCAUGUCGGUUGUAAUCAUCAGGGUAAAUGUGUUUUGUAGGACAAUUUUUUUUUAAGAUGUAAACUCUUGUAUGCUGGGUUUGAUCGCUUUAUCUGUAGCCAGGCUCGCGUUAUAUAUUUAAAAAUGUAUGUGUGUGUCCCUUUUCCCAGUUUUUUCGAACAAUAACUGCUCCAUGUUUCAGCUGUAUUUUAAAUCCACACAUCACAUAAUUGAAGUGGCAAUGAAAUAAUAUUUACCAUCUAAUAAAGAUUUAAAACAUAAA